CCUGUUCCCACUCUGCACUCUGCCGUCGAGGGUCCCAGGCAGCUAGUCUCGCUUACCAUGCCACGUACUGUGCCAGGUGCUGGGAGUUCCUGUUCUCCAGUACCUUACAGUCUCGUGGAAAAAGCAGAUAUAUUGCGAUAACUAAUACAGUAGUAACGGCCAGCUUUUAUUUCUUGAGCGUUUCCUGAAGUCCAGGAGUUCUGACAAGCACUGACCCCUGGGAACCAUCCUAAUGUGGUGGGUUCACAAUUAUCCACAUCGAGGAAACCAAAGCUUACAGAGACUGAUUUUUUUUUUUUUUUUUUUUUUUGCUUGAGGACACGCAGCAGGAUCAGGACUCGAACGCAGGUCCGGGCCACAGAGGCAAGGCCGCUGCUGCCCGGGUCCGGUUUCAGGCCUGGGGGUCACGGGAGAUCGCCGCGGCACACCCACCUCUCCCGGGCCAGGGGCUCCGAGGCAGAGGGACCGCUUAGGAAGGGGCCCUGCGGCCCCAGGAGUGGACUGGAAGGAGCGGCUUCUCCGGGAGACUAGCCUGCGCGGACACGGCUCGCGACCCGGGAUGAUCCCGGAACAGACUCGAGGGUCACUGUUUGGCGCGGGGAAGGCGGGCGCUCCCUCCCGCUCCGCCCUCGAACCGCAGCUCCGCGCAGGUGUUUUGUCCCCGCUGAGUUGCCGCACCUCCGCUCCCUGCUCGAGUGAGUAAACCCAGAAGGGCUUGGCGAGAGUGAGCUGACGCUCGGCGUUCACAGCCCCGAACCUUCCGCGGCUGAGUCAAGGCGCUGGGUGGUCAGUUCAACAUGCUUCUAGAACUUUCAGACCAAUUUCCCCGACUACCUUCUAGGUCUUCCUGACCCAGAUCUAGGCCCAUUUCGCUUUACUGCCUCUUCAGUGGUUGAAGCAAAGAGAGCGAAAGCGGGGUUUCCUGACCCGCCAGGGCGCCCAGACUGGGGCGAAGGGCCCCCCGGGUUCUGAGGCGCUGCGCAGGGCCUCAGUGUCCAGCUGGGGCUCCCAAGGCCGGAGACUCGGCAAGGUGGACAAGCUUCAGUGAGCGAGAGGGACGCGUUCUCUCUCCGCGGCUAAAAGCUUCAGAGCUCAGUGUUGGAUCAGGCGGGCCAGGAACGCAGAUGGACUGCCUUCUUCCGCUGCCCACAGAUUUCACAGCCGUUUCCAGACACAGGAAUGCUUUUGAUGCGGCAACAUCCUCCACAGCCCUGGAAGGAAUGUCAGCGCUUCCAGGUUACGCUUUAGGAGAUGAUCAACUCUGAUACAGGAAUGUCAGCCCUUCCAGGAGACGCUUUAGGAGAUGAUCAACUCUAGCAAGCCCUCCCCAAGUGCCGCACGCUGCAAACUCCACACUGUUCCUGUUUUCCAGAUAGGGAAAAACAAGACUACAGAAGAGAAGCUGGAUCCCAAAAUGACACUUAGAGACACCUCCAUGUUUCAGCAAUAGAGCUGUGGCUGGCUGUGCUAUGGAGUGCAUCUAGAGGGAUAUAUGCAACACUGACCUCGCUUGCUUCAGAGGAAAUAUUUGUUUCUAGAUGUCCACUCUUUACUCCUGCAGCAGACUGAAGUAUCAUUAUUAUCCCAGUUUUACCUACAAGAAAACCAACUCUACACUGCCAAGUUCUGUGGCGCUGCAGUGAUGGACGGGACCUCUUGCCUCUAUCUGAUGAACUCCUACUCAUCCUUCAAGACCUAACUCAGCUUUUGUUUUCUUCAAAUCCUUCUGAGUCUCCAUCAAAUUCAGCUUCCUGUCCUCUACAAAGUUGAUAAGCAUGCCUCCUGUGUCUUCAUUUCAACUCUUUGAUAACAAGUAAACCCAGUCAUCAGUUGACGUCACCCUGUCCUUUGAGAUUGAAAGAAAAUUAGCUCAAGCCCCCAUCACACAUCCUGUGGGAAGUCAGAUACCCUCCCAAAGAUCUUUGCAAACUCCCAGCACUUUGGUGGUCACUUGCGUUUCCACGUUCCUCUUCCUGCUGGCCUUGGGCUCACCCACAUCCCACCUCUGUGGCUGCUCUGUCCUCUCAGGUUCAUGCCGACCAGGUCCUUUCCCUGAUUUCUUUCAAGAAACAAAACAUUUAGGAGUGUGGCAGAUUUUGCGCAAGACUUGCAGAGAUGGUGUGUGUGUGUGUGUGUGUGUGUGUGUGUGUGUGUGUGUGUAGGGGGGUUUCUGUACAGAAUAGGUACUCAAACAGAUUUAAUAGAUCUCUUCUUUCUGUCCUUGAAAGUCCCUCAAUAACACCAACACUAGGACCUUCUUCCUGGUCUCUUUUCCCCAAGUGCUCCUCAAACUACCCAGAGAAUCAAGAUCCUAGGAUUUCAUUAACAGCCCUUGUUCUGGCCAGGGUUGGUGGAGGAGAUUGGGCCAUAGGGAGAAUUAAGGGCAGACCCUGGGCAAAUUUGUGAGGAGUCAAAGUUUGUUUAAGAUGUUCCCCAUACUUCCUUUUAAAUUAAAAUUUAAGAAUAUAUUUUAUUUAACCUAAAACAACCAAAAUAUUAUUUCACCAUGUAUUAUGGGCUGAAUUGUGUUCCCCCCAAAUUCGUGUUGAAACCCUAACCCCCCGUCCUCAGAAUGUGACUGUAUUUGGAGAUAGGGUCUUUACAGAGGUAAUCAAGCUAAAAUGAUCAUUAAGGUGGCUCUAAUCACCAAGGUGUGUCAUCAAGGACACCUGACUGGUGUCCUUAUAAGAAGAAGAGAUUUGGACACACAAGAGAGAUAUCAGGAAUGUUUAAGCACCAAGAAAAGACCAUGUGAAGAGGCAGCAAGUGGGCAGCCAUCUGCAAGCCAAAGAGGGAAGCCUCAGAGGAAACAAACUCUGCUGGCACCUUGAUCUCGGACUUCUAGCCUCCAGAACUAUAAGAAAAUAAACUUCUGUUGUUUAACCCACCCAGUCUAUGAUAUUUUUUUUGUGGCAGUGCUAGCAAACUAAUGCACCAUGUUACUAACAUAAAAAUUAUUAAGGAGUGUAGUGGCUUGUAAGGUGGUUCCCCAGAAUUUAUGUUCACAUCCUAAUCCCUGAAACCCGUGAAUAUGACCUUAUCUGGGAAAAGGGUCUUUGCAGAUGUAAUUAAAUUAAGGAUCUCGAAAUAAAAUCAUUGGGAUUAUCUGGGUGGGCCCUAAAUCCAAUGACAAGUGUCCUUAUAAGAGACAGAAGAGGAGGACAGAGACAGAGGAGAAAGCCAUGUGAGUACAGAGGCAGAGAUCUGGGAUACAGCCACAAGCCAAGGAAUGCUGAAGCCUUCUAAGGGAGCAUGGCUCUGCUAACAACUAGAUUUUGGAUUUCUGGCUCCAGAGCUGUGAGAGAAUAAAUUUCUGUUGUUUUAAACCACCAAAUCUGUGGUGAUUUGUUAUAGCAGUUCUAGGAAACGAAUAUAAGGAGGUGCUUUAUGUUCUUUUUUCAUACUUUGAAAUGUGGUACAUAUUUUAUAUUCCAACACAGCUCAAUUCAGAGUAGCCAAGUUCAUGCUAGUUGAUUUGGAAGGUGAUCCCAGAUAGCCAGAGUGAGGGAAGGGGUAGAGGCACAGGGAAGGGGGCCAAGAUGCAUUCUCAAGCUGGCCACUCCUACCCUCACCUUUCCCUUUGUAGCUUGUAUUUUAGUCUUGUGCCCAUGACCGUCAGCACCUUCCUGUUAGAAGCUGACUUCCAGGUCUCCCACUUAUGCUGAAGUCUGCUUCCAGGGCAGGGACUCUUUCUUCUACCUGGAAACUCCAAACUUCCUGUGCAGCCCCCCUCAGGGUGCUGGUGUCCAAAGCUGGGUGGAGUGACUAGUAUGCUGUGAAGUUUCUCUAGUGAUGUUCCCAUUAGCAAGGAAUCCACAUCCGCACUUCCCCAUAUCUUGCUUCCAUAGCGAAGUACCAAUUUCUGUUGGCUUAAACAACAGAAAUUUAUUGUCUCAAAUCUGAAAUCAAGGUGUUGGCAGUGUUGGUUUCUCCCAAGGGCUGUGAGAGAAGGCUUCUCUCCUUGCCUUGUAGAUGGUUGCCUUCUCCUUAUUUGUCUGUGUCCAAGUUUUUCCUUUUUAUAAGGACACCAUUUAUGUUAGGUUACGGCCACCUUGAUGACCUCACUUUAACUUUUACCUCUAUACAGACCCUAUCUCCAAAUAAGGUCACAUUCCGAGGUACUGGGGGUUAAGACGCCUAUGUGUCCUUUUUGGGGAGACACAGUUCAGUUCAUAACAUCUCCUUUGAUGUUUCACCUCAUUAUCGAACCCAGUGUCCCUGGAUUUUACCUAGCAUCUAUGGGUCAUUUUCUGUAAAUCUACAUUUAAUUUCCUAAUUUCUAAAUAUUAUAUAUAUGUUAUUGUUCUGAGAGUUUAAAAGUUUUAUUCAGGGUCUUACUGGAGAUGAUAGUCCAGGAAACAGCCUCUUAGUAACUCUGAGAGAAAUGUUCUAAAGAGGUGGGAGGAGAAGCCAGUUUCUAUGUUUUUUGGUGUUUUUUUUGGCUAGGGUAUAUGUGUAAUCAAGCAUACAUUGUGAUUAAAGAUUACUGCUAGUCACAAGGAAUGGACAUCUCAAGUUAAUGAUUUUAGUGCUUUUUCAUGUACGGGAAAAUGCAAGAGUCUGGGUUCAUUAAAAUUCUUCCUGAAAUAUACAUCUAAACCAUCUAAAGGGACUGCUUGUCCAAAGCACACAGCAUCCUGUUAAUGUCUUUUUGUUGUUGUUGUUUUGGCUUUUUUUUCCCCCUAUUUUUUUGUUUCCUUGUUUUUCCCCCAUAUAUAUUUUAAUACAAUUUUUAAA
Long non-coding RNA from Aethalodelphis obliquidens (Pacific white-sided dolphin), 4737 nucleotides. RefSeq lists it as uncharacterized. The transcript is spliced from 6 exons. NCBI's taxonomy places the organism in Eukaryota, Metazoa, Chordata, Mammalia, Artiodactyla, Delphinidae. The record is from RefSeq and is a predicted model, not a curated record.